UGCUUUGCCCUAAAAAGAUAUCACUUUCCUCUCAUGUGGAUUAUCUCUGAUUAAUGCUUUAUUUAUUUUCUACUGCUGUGUAACAAACUGCUACAAAUUUAGCAACUUAAAAUAACAUCCAUUUGUUAUCUCAUAGUUCUGUAGAUCAGAUGUCUGGGCAGGCUUAGCUGGGUUCCUGCUCAAGGUCUCUGGAAGCCAAAGUCAAGAUGUCAGGCAGGCUGGGCUCUCAUCUGGAGUAUCUGGAGGAGAUCAGCUGCCAGGCUUAUUCAGGAUGUUGACAAGACUCAGUUACUGGCAGUUGUAGCACUGAGGGUCCCAUCUCCUUGCUGGCUAUUAUCAAGGGGCAGCUCUCAGCUUCCAGAGGCUAGAUCAGUCCUUGCCACAUGGGACCCUCAAUCUUUAAGCCAGGAUCAAAUCCUCCUCAGACUUGGAGUUUCCAUAACUUAAUCCUCUGUAACCAGCUAGAGACAAGUCUAUGGUGUUGAAGGGCUCAUGUGAUUAUGUUAGGCCCACCAAGAUCAUCUCUUUUAUACCAUACAUAGUCAUGGAAGUGAUAUCUCAUUAUAUUCACGGAUUCUAACCACACUCAAAGGCGAGGAGACGACACAAGGGUGAGAGUCACUGGCACUAAUUUUAGGAUUCUGCCUACCACAAGUGCUAUGAUUUUCAGCAGUAACAGUGACAGAGCUUUUAAAUGAACUGAGGGAGAAAAAUGGGGCAGGGAUAGUUCAGGGUCAUCUGAAGAGUUACAUUUGGGAAAUCUCCCUCCUGGGACAUUAAACUUUUUCUAUAUCAAGUUCAAAAUCACCUCAAGGGCACAGACACUCACGAAACAUGAACACUAACCCAAUUAGAAGGCACAUGGGCCUUGAUAGAAGCAAGAACAGGUUCCCGAGCAGGCAGAACUGUGAGCAGGCCCAGGGGGACAUAAGCCAACACUCACCUGGUUCUGACCUGGGAGGUCAUGACACAGAAGCCCCAGGCCUUAGAGAUCAUGAGAUAUCAGCAGAAGAUCAGGACAUCCAAUAGACAUUCAAUGGGUUCAGAAAAGGAAUAUUUUCUUCUCCGUGGGCUUCGCUAGGAAAUUUGAAGACUGGCUCAGCCUCCAAUGGGAAGGAAAAGUCUAGGUCAGUGGGAGGCAAAGAGGAGGGACUUAAUAGUUAGAGAAGAGACUAAACCCAGCGAUCUGAGGCUGUCAACUGAGCAUUCCAGCUGAGACCUUAUCCACCAGUUGGAGGGGCCCAAGAGAAGGGUCAGUUCCCCUUUAGUAAAGAGCUGAAUUCAGACACACCAGGACUUAGACAUCUGAGCUACUCACAUUGUAGACAGUAGCCAAUAUAUUUACUAAUUAUAAUAAUGUAUACAACAGAUUUCAGCAAAGUGCCUCGUUCUAACUCAGCAAGCACAUUUUGAUAAUUUUCUGACAGAAGGAAGUAAACGGUCUUGAAGAAGGAAGGAGCAGAGCUGUCAAGCUCAGCCAGAGGAGCUGGGCUUCCCUAGAAGGCUGCCCAGAGCAGCGGCUGCUCCACACGCCAGGUGUUUGCCCUUGGAGGCGGAAGAAGCAAAUAAUGGAAGAAAAUGAAGAGCUUUUGUUCCCAGCCAGUGCAGUACUCAGGUUUAGAAACCACGGAGGAAGUCUGGACUCCAUCUGAGCUAAACUGUGAGCUGCCUGGGUUUUGAAACAAUGAGGGGAGCAGGAGUGAAAGAAGGGGCUGUGACCCAAGAAAUGCAGUUCCUGAAGCUGGAAGAGGAAAGAAACAGAUUCCCUGGGAAACUUAUGUUGGAUUUCUAGCCUCCAGAACUGUGAGGAAAUACAUUUCCACCCUUUAGAGACAUCAAGUUGGUGAGAAUGUGUUGCAGUGGCCAUAGGAAAGUAAUACGGAGCCUCAGAAAAAGCCGCCCCCACUGACAGCUAGAUUGAAGCAGUUUUCUCAGACACAACUAGAUAGAGAUAAGGUAACAGAGACUCCAGUGACCACACAAACAAGGAAUAUAGUCCUUGUAAAAAAGUUUGGAAAAGUCACUAAACAAAUGGAUAACUGUACCACUCUACAAGAAAUAUGCCCAUCCCUUGGGCAGAGGGACAGCAUUAUUUCCAGAGCUACCACAUUACAAUAUGCAAAAUUCCCACUUUUCAUUGGAAAAUUGCAGGCACAAAGAAACAAAAAAAAUAUGAUCCAUUCACAGGGGGAAAAAUAAAUUGACAGAAAACAUUUUGAAGAAACACAGACAUUGUUCAUAUAAGACAAAAUGUAAAUUGGCUGUCUUUAAAAUAUUCAAAGAACUAAAGGAAAAUAUGAAAGGAACUCUGGAAAUCAAGAACAAUGUAUGAAAAAGUAGAUAAUAUCCAUAGAUAAACAGAAAUUAUAAUUUAGAAGCUAAAAAGUACAACAGCCGUCAUGAAAAUUCCACAAGAGAGAUUCAACAAUAGAUUGACCAGGCAGAAGAAAGAAUCAAUGAAUUUUCAGGGCAAAGAAAAGAAUCCAGUCUGAGGAGCAGAAAGAAAAAAGAAUGAAGAAAAUGAACAGAGCCUAAGGGACCCGUGGGAAACUAUCAAGAAUACUAACAGAUGCAUUAUGGGAGUCCCAGAAGGAGAAAAAGGAAAGGAUCAGAAAAAAAUAUGUGAAGAAAUAAUGGCCCAAAACUUCCUAAAUCUGGUGAAACAUAGGAAUAUGCAAAUCCAGGAAGCUCAACAAAUUUCAAGGAGGACAAACUCAGAGAUCGACACUGAGAUACACUAUAAUCAAACUGUCAAAUGCCAAGAUA
This is a non-coding RNA of Equus caballus (horse), 2766 nucleotides long. The record is from RefSeq and is a predicted model, not a curated record. NCBI's taxonomy places the organism in Eukaryota, Metazoa, Chordata, Mammalia, Perissodactyla, Equidae.